This 29-nucleotide non-coding RNA is filed under the name Rattus norvegicus (Norway rat). The record is from RNAcentral. Lineage: Eukaryota; Metazoa; Chordata; Mammalia; Rodentia; Muridae.
UCCACAAAUCUCUAACAGUCAUGCCGGUA